GUCUUUUUGAUUAUAAUUUAAAGUCUAACCUGCCCAAUGAGGAAUUAUUUAAUGGCCGCAGUAUUUUAACUGUGCGAAGGUAGCAUAAUAAUUAGUUUUUUAAUUGAGAACUGGUAUGAAUGGUUGGACGAGAGAAAAACUGUCUCAAUUUAAAUUUAAUUAGAAUUUUAUUUUUAAGUAAAAAAGCUUAAAUAAAUUUAAAAGACGAGAAGACCCUAUAGAGUUUAAUAUUAAAUUAAUAUUUAUUAUAUAAAGUAUUUAAUUAAAUUUAUAUAAAAUUUAGUAUUUAAUUGGGGUGAUUGAAUAAUUGAAUAAACUUAUUUUUUAUUUAGACAUUAAUUUAUGAAUAUAUGAUCCAAUUUUUUUUGAUUAAAAGAUUAAAUUACCUUAGGGAUAACAGCGUAAUUUUUUUUUAAAGUUCUUAUUGAAAGAAAAGUUUGCGACCUCGAUGUUGGAUUUAAAA
This 463-nucleotide ribosomal RNA is filed under the name Aphodius mutilus. RNAcentral describes it as "partial 16S ribosomal RNA". The record is from RNAcentral. Lineage: Eukaryota; Metazoa; Arthropoda; Insecta; Coleoptera; Scarabaeidae.